RNAcentral lists this ribosomal RNA (284 nucleotides) under uncultured archaeon. RNAcentral describes it as "partial 16S ribosomal RNA". It matches the Rfam family "Archaeal small subunit ribosomal RNA", at positions 345 to 626 of the family's 1478-position model. The record is from RNAcentral.
AAACUUCGCAAUGCGCGAAAGCGUGACGAGGGAACCCCAAGUGCCGUUGGCCUUUUGAUCGACGGCUUUUCGGAAGUCUAAGAAGCUCCCGGAAUAAGGGCUGGGCAAGACUGGUGCCAGCCGCCGCGGUAAUACCUGCAGCCCAAGUGGUGAUCGUUAUUAUUGGGUUUAAAACGUCCGUAGCUGAUCUAGUAAAUUCCUGGGUAAAUCGAAUUGCUUAACAAUCCGAAUUCCGGGGAGACUGCUAGACUUGGGACCGGAAGAGGUCAAAAGUACUUCCGGGG